CAAAAGUUAAUAUCCAUAAGUCCAAAUUUAUGCAUGGUGCAUAAAUCAUUUCCAACCAUUAGAUGGGUCUUAUACAUGUAAUAAUCCUAGUCACUCUUCAAGGGAGAGGUAAUCAUGCGUGUUCUCCUUUUCUUCAACCUUUCUCUCUCGCGUUCGCUCCUCCGUUCUCUCCCAUGCUCAUCAGAAUCCUCCUCAUCAGAAUCAGUUUCAACAUCAUCCUCAUUGUCACCUUCACUCUCUUCAUCUUGUUGAACGGAAUCAACUUUUCUUCCACCGGCGCAUCUUUCACACAACGAAAGCGCGUUACCGAGUCUAGCACCGGAAGCUUUCCACGGCGUGGGAGAUUGACAAGCGUGACAGAGGAGAGUUCUUGUGUGUCUCUCACUUAUGAUGCUGAGAAAAUAGGACUGGACUCGAUGGAUGUUGAAGCUUUGAAGAAGCUCAACAAAAAUAAGAAACUAGUGAAGAAAUUGGCUAAGAAGUACCAUUCAUUUUUAGCUUCAGAAGUUGUUAUCAAGCAAAUUCCGCGUCUUUUGGGUCCUGGACUCAACAAGGCAGUUACCAUUAGAUCAAGGAGGAGGUGAGGGUAAAGCUAUGGACAUAGAAGCUAAGGGAACAUUUAGGCCUCAGCGACUCUUACAGAUUGCAGACAGGUUUGAACUGAAUGGUGCUGAUGUAUUGAAAAAAAAGACCCACUUACUGAACUUUUUGCAGACUACUACUUAUGAUAUCUUUGAAGAGUCUUGGUUUUUCUUCUUCAGCUCAAGUCAAACUGUAUAGAUCAUACUGGUUCAAUAAGAUAGGGGUGAUGGUAGUGCUUGGUUAUUGAUCACAUUUGUUCUAUAGUUUAAGGCGAAAAUGGAAAUGCAUUUGUGAAUAAGUGUGUACUAUAGGUUGUGAAUAAUGGUUUGAAUAUUCAGGAUUUAAAAAAUCUAUUUUACUCUCAUAGUCAA
This is an RNA transcript of Trifolium pratense (red clover), 953 nucleotides long. RefSeq lists it as uncharacterized. The record is from RefSeq and is a predicted model, not a curated record. The transcript is spliced from 4 exons. NCBI's taxonomy places the organism in Eukaryota, Viridiplantae, Streptophyta, Magnoliopsida, Fabales, Fabaceae.